CAAGGCAUGGCUGAAUAACUAAGCAUCUCACUUACACCGAGAAGAUAUCUGUGCAAAUCAGAUUGCCUUGA
RNAcentral lists this transfer RNA (71 nucleotides) under Microdevario nanus. Its description in RNAcentral is "tRNA-Val". It matches the Rfam family "tRNA". Rfam says of the family: Transfer RNA (tRNA) molecules are approximately 80 nucleotides in length. Their secondary structure includes four short double-helical elements and three loops (D, anti-codon, and T loops). Lineage: Eukaryota; Metazoa; Chordata; Actinopteri; Cypriniformes; Danionidae. The record is from RNAcentral.